GCCAGCAGCCAUAUCACCCUGCAACUCACAACUGGCAACCCACUGAAGCUAAGCAGGUGUCACCCUGGUCAGUACCUGGAUAGGAGACCUCCUGGGAAACACUAAGGUUGCUGUUGGAA
Molecule: ribosomal RNA, 119 nt
Organism: Lepisosteus oculatus (spotted gar)
Lineage: Eukaryota; Metazoa; Chordata; Actinopteri; Semionotiformes; Lepisosteidae
Source: Ensembl